CCUACGGGAGGCAGCAGUGGGGAAUUUUGCGCAAUGGGGGCAACCCUGACGCAGCAACGCCGCGUGAGUGAUGAAGGCCUUCGGGUCGUAAAGCUCUGUCAGAGGGGAAGAACUGCAGGUGGUGAACAACCAUUCUGUUUGACGGUACCCUCAAAGGAAGCACCGGCUAACUCCGUGCCAGCAGCCGCGGUAAUACGGAGGGUGCGAGCGUUGUUCGGAAUUAUUGGGCGUAAAGCGCGUGUAGGCGGUUUUUUAAGUCUGAGGUAAAAGCCCCGGGCUCAACCGGGAAAGUGCAUUGGAUACUGGCAGACUGGAGUCCGGGAGAGGGGAGUGAAAUUCCCGGUGUAGGGGUGAAAUCCGUAGAUAUGGGGAGGAACACCGGUGGCGAAGGCGGCUCUCGGGACCGAUACUGACGCUGAGGCGCGAAAGCGGGGGGAGCAAACAGGAUUAGAUACCCGGGUAGU
Molecule: ribosomal RNA, 464 nt
Filed under: uncultured Desulfuromonadales bacterium
Lineage: Bacteria; Pseudomonadati; Thermodesulfobacteriota; Desulfuromonadia; Desulfuromonadales
Description: partial 16S ribosomal RNA
Rfam family: Bacterial small subunit ribosomal RNA
Source: RNAcentral